CUACAGGGCUGCAGGGCUACAGGGUUACAUGGCAACAGGGCUACAGGGUUACAUGGCUACAGGGCUACAGGGUUACAUGGCAACAGGGCUACAGGGUUACAUGGCAACAGGGCUACAGGGUUACAUGGCAACAGGGCUACAGGGUUACAUGGCUACAGGGCUACAGGGCUACAGGGUUACAUGGCAACAGGGCUACAGGGUUACAUGGCUACAGGGCUACAAGGUUACAUGGCAACAGGGCUACAGGGCUACAGGGUUACAUGGCAACAGGGCUACAGGGCUACAGGGGUUACAUGGCAACAGGGCUACAGGGUUACAUGGCAACAGGGCUACAGGGCUACAGGCUAAAACAAUACUUGGCCAGAUCCGAUUGUGGUAUGAUUUUUUUUCUUCUCUCUUUUUGCAAAAAGUAUCAUAAAA
Long non-coding RNA from Oncorhynchus tshawytscha (Chinook salmon), 420 nucleotides. The record is from Ensembl. NCBI's taxonomy places the organism in Eukaryota, Metazoa, Chordata, Actinopteri, Salmoniformes, Salmonidae.